UUUGAGGGGUUAAGGCUCCCAGUAGACGACUGGGUUGAUAGGCCAGAUAUGGAAGCCCGGUAACGGGUGGAGUUGACUGGUACUAAUAGGCCGAGGGCUUGUCCUC
This 106-nucleotide ribosomal RNA is filed under the name Streptomyces nigrescens. RNAcentral describes it as "partial 23S ribosomal RNA". It matches the Rfam family "Bacterial large subunit ribosomal RNA", at positions 2819 to 2925 of the family's 2925-position model. Lineage: Bacteria; Bacillati; Actinomycetota; Actinomycetes; Kitasatosporales; Streptomycetaceae. The record is from RNAcentral. RNAcentral also lists the same sequence under 1 other name.